This 256-nucleotide ribosomal RNA is filed under the name uncultured bacterium. Its description in RNAcentral is "partial 16S ribosomal RNA". It matches the Rfam family "Bacterial small subunit ribosomal RNA", at positions 526 to 779 of the family's 1533-position model. The record is from RNAcentral.
CGUAGGUGGCAAGCGUUGUCCGGAAUUAUUGGGCGUAAAGCGCGCGCAGGCGGAUCAGUCAGUCUGUCUUAAAAGUUCGGGGGCUUAACCCCGUGAUGGGAGUGGAAACUGCUGAUCUAGAGUAUCGGAGAGGAAAGUGGAAUUCCUAGUGUAGCGGUGAAAUGCGUAGAUAUUAGGAAGAACACCAGUGGCGAAGGCGACUUUCUGGACGAAACUAGACGCUGAGGCGCGAAAGCCAGGGGGAGCGAACGGGAUU